This 253-nucleotide ribosomal RNA is filed under the name uncultured bacterium. RNAcentral describes it as "partial 16S ribosomal RNA". It matches the Rfam family "Bacterial small subunit ribosomal RNA", at positions 524 to 776 of the family's 1533-position model. The record is from RNAcentral.
UACGAAGGGGGCUAGCGUUGCUCGGAUUGACUGGGCGUAAAGGGCGCGUAGGCGGUUCGUACAGUCAGACGUGAAAUUCCUGGGCUCAACCUGGGGGCUGCGUUUGAUACGUGCGGACUUGAGUGCGGAAGAGGGUCGUGGAAUUCCCAGUGUAGAGGUGAAAUUCGUAGAUAUUGGGAAGAACACCGGUGGCGAAGGCGGCGACCUGGUCCGAUACUGACGCUGAGGCGCGAAGGUCAGGGGAGCAAACGGG